This 30-nucleotide non-coding RNA is filed under the name Homo sapiens (human). Lineage: Eukaryota; Metazoa; Chordata; Mammalia; Primates; Hominidae. The record is from RNAcentral.
CACGCGAGUGCAGUUUGGACAGCAGCUCUG